GCCCAGACAAAAUUAAACCAACAAAUAAAUAAAACAGUCCAAAAUUACUAGUCAUUUGCAACAGAUCCAAAUCAAAACAGCCCAAAAAAAUUAAAAGCCCAAUUAGCCCAACAUCUAAAACAUUUUUAGAAAAAACCCUAGCCCCUAACCUAGGCGCCGCACGUCUUUUCAGCCACCUGCCCUCUGUGCGCCGCUGCCACCACUGCUCCG
This 210-nucleotide long non-coding RNA is filed under the name Gossypium raimondii (Peruvian cotton). RNAcentral's name for it is "long non-coding RNA (GRAI_LNC007471)". The record is from RNAcentral. Lineage: Eukaryota; Viridiplantae; Streptophyta; Magnoliopsida; Malvales; Malvaceae.